AACCGUGCGAAGGUAGCAUAAUCACUUGUUCUUUAAAUGAGGACUCGUAUCAACGGCAUCACGAGGAUCCUACUGUCUCCCCCCUCUAAUCGGUGAAACUGAUCUCUCCGUGAAGAAGCGGAGAUGUACAUAUAAGACGAGAAGACCCCAUGGAGCUUUAAACCCAACAACACCCGCCCCCCCUCCAAAUCCUAUUAUUUACCCGGUGAUUGUUUGUUUGGUUUUAGGUUGGGGUGACCGCGGAGUAUAAGAUAUCCUCCAUGAAAAAAAGCUAACUGCCCUUAUUAGAGAAAGACACUUCCAAAAAAUAAUAAAUUAAUUUUAAAUGAUCCGACAUUCGAUCAACGAACCAAGUUACCCUGGGGAUAACAGCGCAAUCCGUCCCGAGAGCCCCUAUCGACAGGCGGGUUUACGACCUCGAUGUUGGAUCAGGGUAUCCUAGUGGUGCAGCAGCUACUAAAGGUUCGUUUGUUCAACGAUUAAAACCCU
RNAcentral lists this ribosomal RNA (489 nucleotides) under Boophis madagascariensis (Madagascar bright-eyed frog). RNAcentral describes it as "partial 16S ribosomal RNA". It matches the Rfam family "Bacterial large subunit ribosomal RNA", at positions 1944 to 2597 of the family's 2925-position model. Lineage: Eukaryota; Metazoa; Chordata; Amphibia; Anura; Mantellidae. The record is from RNAcentral.